AUAUAUAUAGUAUAAAAUAAUAUAUUUAAUUUCCAAUUAAAAGAUUUAAUAAUAAAAUAUAUAUA
RNAcentral lists this transfer RNA (65 nucleotides) under Lasioglossum lativentre. RNAcentral describes it as "tRNA-Gly". Lineage: Eukaryota; Metazoa; Arthropoda; Insecta; Hymenoptera; Halictidae. The record is from RNAcentral.